Oryctolagus cuniculus (rabbit) is the source of this 1690-nucleotide non-coding RNA. NCBI's taxonomy places the organism in Eukaryota, Metazoa, Chordata, Mammalia, Lagomorpha, Leporidae. The record is from RefSeq and is a predicted model, not a curated record.
UUGUUUAUUUUACAUAGACAUAAAAAUCCUGGAAACAUUUUUCAUGAGGUAAAUAAAUUUGCUUCUGUUGAAAUGGCCUUGACAAUGCUGAACUACUUUACUUGUAUAUUCAUUUCUCUGUAUUUCUGCACUUUUAAAGAGUAUAUUUCUCAAGUGGAAUUAAGAAGGCUGAAUUAAGGAGAAAUCAAUAUUUAUAGAUUCUUUGGUUCUGUUUAAAACCUGCAAUCUACUUUAUUAAUGCAGAUUUAAAAGGAAGGACAUUUCUGAAAAGAAUUUUCCUUACACAUUCUUUUAUUUCUUGCUUUCCUAAUCAUGAAGGACUAUUACUAAGUUUGGCAGUUACAUCUCCAGGGAUUUAUUUUAAAUUAUUUUCAGUGAUUUGGACAGUUGCCAUUUUAUCAUAGAGAUGAAAAGGUAGGAGAUGAGAUUCAGCUGAGGAUGGAAGUUUCUCCCUGUGCCAAGCAAAGGGCUAUUUUAAAGUGAUUUAUGUGGCAGUUUUCUUCUGUGUCACCAUUAUGUCCCUGCUGCCUGAGUGUGACAACGUGGGGCUUGCUAACAUUUUGGUAAUAAUUUAUUGGGAUGAGAUUUUUUUUUUUGGCCUGGAGUUCAGCCUGCAAUCCUUUUAACACUUUGCUAAAAGGCGUAAGUUCUCUACAGGCUUAUUUAUUUUUCACUUUGGAACUGUGCACUCACACAAAAACCUGCCUACAUAAAUCUGCAACUUUUCUUUUUGAAUUGGAAGUUGAAUGCCGACCAUGACUUGCGCAUAUAAAAAAAUGCAGAAAUAAUGCCCCCCUACUGUGAGACAGAAACAAUCUGCAUCUUUUAACAUGCUUGGAUCAUCUAAAUGAAUGAGGAAAUACACAAAACUUCUGAAUUCUGCAACUGUAUAUUCUGGUUGCCAAGAAGAAAAUAAUAUAAUAUGAGGAUUCUAAAUUUAUUUUGGACUUUGAACUUUCUCAGUGAGCACUGAUUAUUCUGGAACAGGAUAGGUCAAACUGGCCACAAGACAAAAGGCAUCUUUGAAUUAUUCCAAAACUGCUGACCUGAAAAAUUGUUAAAGAUAAAGAAAAGAAGAUAAUCUUCAUAUAUGCCCAAAUCAGAUGAUUAUAACAUUUCAAUUGUUCCAUUGAAUUGUUCUCAAACAUUUUCCAAAGUGAAUUGUUGAUGUUAAGCUUUAUCAAAUAGGCUCCUUCCACCAAGAAUGAAAAAUGCCUGUGGCUACCGAUGUCUUCUUUGCCAUGCCUCCACCUCCACCACAGAGUUGGCUUUCCAAAUUAGGUUUCAUGGCUGCUAAUUGGAGGAAUUUUCCACAGCCCAACUUCUGGCUCCUGUUUCUUUACCACAGCCCACAGACUUCCUGCCCUAGGCACCACAGAAGAUUUGGCAACAACUAACCUUUACAAUGCUGCCUCAAUCAUCAGAGAUGGAGAUUAUAAUGCAAUAUCAGCAAGUUUCACUAGCCUACAUAUUAGGUGUAUGGUCUCUGCUGUGGCUGGGAAAGCAGUGGAAGAUGGCCUAAGUCCUUGGACUCCUGCACCCACAUGGGAGACUGAGAAGAAGCUCCUGGCUCCUGGCUUCAGAUUGACACAGCCCUGGCUGUUGUGGCCAUUUGGGGAGUGAACCAGUGGAAGGAGCAUCUUUCUCUCUCUCUCUCUCUCUCUCUCUCUCUCCUUCUCAUUGUCUGUAA